RNAcentral lists this ribosomal RNA (21 nucleotides) under uncultured Russulaceae. RNAcentral's name for it is "partial 28S ribosomal RNA". Lineage: Eukaryota; Fungi; Basidiomycota; Agaricomycetes; Russulales; Russulaceae. The record is from RNAcentral.
CCUUGACCUCAAAUCGGGUGA